UACGUAGGGGGCAAGCGUUGUCCGGAUUUAUUGGGCGUAAAGAGCUCGUAGGCGGUUUGUCGCGUCUAUCGUGAAAGUCCGAGGCUCAACUUCGGAUCUGCGGUGGGUACGGGCAGACUAGAGUGAUGUAGGGGAGACUGGAAUUCCUGGUGUAGCGGUGAAAUGCGCAGAUAUCAGGAGGAACACCGAUGGCGAAGGCAGGUCUCUGGGCAUUAACUGACGCUGAGGAGCGAAAGCAUGGGGAGCGAACAGGAUUAGAAACCCCAGUAGUCC
Molecule: ribosomal RNA, 273 nt
Filed under: uncultured Glutamicibacter sp.
Lineage: Bacteria; Bacillati; Actinomycetota; Actinomycetes; Micrococcales; Micrococcaceae
Description: partial 16S ribosomal RNA
Rfam family: Bacterial small subunit ribosomal RNA
Source: RNAcentral